Molecule: long non-coding RNA, 767 nt
Organism: Ornithorhynchus anatinus (platypus)
Lineage: Eukaryota; Metazoa; Chordata; Mammalia; Monotremata; Ornithorhynchidae
Exons: 5
Source: RefSeq, a predicted model, not a curated record
ACCGGGCUGGGGAGGGGGCUGGAGAUGUGGGCGAGGAAGGAAUGGGCUUCGGUGGACCCCCAGCGGCCACUGGGUGGGGGUGGGGAGAGGGGAGCGGGUCCCCCCUCCCGCCGCCCCCCAGCCCCGGGGAUGGACGAGCCCCGGACCGCACCGGCCCAUCGUUGUCGGCAAGGUGCCUCACUUCGGCAGAACAAACAGUCGCUGCUGGAUAUCCUGCUCACGUCCUUUCUCUGCAAGUUUCCCCUUUAACAGAGCCAGGCUGUGACAAGCAUCGCUUCCAUGCCGUUGAGGAAACUGAAGCACAGAGGUGAACGAUGGCGGCAGGAUGGACACACACCAUCCGAGGAUCCCUCCUGGACUUUUCUUGAAGAAACUCUGUCUGGGACGGUGCUUCUUCACUGAAGCUGGGAAGGGGAAGACUAAACACCAUCAACAUCCAAGACCCUGAGGAUUGCUGGCCUCUGCACCGGCAUCCUCUCGGCGCCUGCUACCCCGUCUUUUGCGGCUCCCAGCGCCCUCGGCGUCCUUCCCUGGGAGCCCACCACGCCGACCCCGGGAUCCCUCGCCGGCCUUCUUCCGCAUCACCGAGGAAUCUCCAUCCCGACCCGCCUUCCACCAACCCGGCAGGACGGACAGAGUCCCCACUCCCCUUUUUAUUUUCAGGCUCGGACGGCACCUGGAGAGUUUCUAAUACUCAACCGGUCUCGGCUACGGGAGGAAGAGUCAAGCAGCGGCCUACCCAUUCCGUUCCUAGCUUGGGCAGUGGC